RNAcentral lists this ribosomal RNA (495 nucleotides) under uncultured bacterium. RNAcentral's name for it is "partial 16S ribosomal RNA". It matches the Rfam family "Bacterial small subunit ribosomal RNA", at positions 30 to 507 of the family's 1533-position model. The record is from RNAcentral.
UGAACGCUGGCGGCGUGCCUAAUACAUGCAAGUCGAGCGAACAGACGAGGAGCUUGCUCCUCUGACGUUAGCGGCGGACGGGUGAGUAACACGUGGAUAACCUACCUAUAAGACUGGGAUAACUUCGGGAAACCGGAGCUAAUACCGGAUAAUAUAUUGAACCGCAUGGUUCAAUAGUGAAAGACGGUUUUGCUGUCACUUAUAGAUGGAUCCGCGCCGCAUUAGCUAGUUGGUAAGGUAACGGCUUACCAAGGCAACGAUGCGUAGCCGACCUGAGAGGGUGAUCGGCCACACUGGAACUGAGACACGGUCCAGACUCCUACGGGAGGCAGCAGUAGGGAAUCUUCCGCAAUGGGCGAAAGCCUGACGGAGCAACGCCGCGUGAGUGAUGAAGGUCUUCUGAUCGUAAAACUCUGUUAUUAGGGAAGAACAAAUGUGUAAGUAACUAUGCACGUCUUGACGGUACCUAAUCAGAAAGCCACGGCUAACUACGUG